This 18-nucleotide ribosomal RNA is filed under the name Symbiodinium sp. RNAcentral's name for it is "partial large ribosomal RNA subunit". The record is from RNAcentral. RNAcentral also lists the same sequence under 23 other names. Lineage: Eukaryota; Dinophyceae; Suessiales; Symbiodiniaceae.
UAGCAUGAAGUCAGACAA